RNAcentral lists this ribosomal RNA (118 nucleotides) under Stenotrophomonas maltophilia 5BA-I-2. RNAcentral's name for it is "partial 16S ribosomal RNA". It matches the Rfam family "Bacterial small subunit ribosomal RNA", at positions 1 to 106 of the family's 1533-position model. Lineage: Bacteria; Pseudomonadati; Pseudomonadota; Gammaproteobacteria; Lysobacterales; Lysobacteraceae. The record is from RNAcentral.
AGUUUUAAGUGAAGAGUUUGAUCCUGGCUCAGAGUGAACGCUGGCGGUAGGCCUAACACAUGCAAGUCGAACGGCAGCACAGAGGAGCUUGCUCCUUGGGUGGCGAGUGGCGGACGGG